Long non-coding RNA from Cyprinus carpio carpio, 3787 nucleotides. The record is from Ensembl. NCBI's taxonomy places the organism in Eukaryota, Metazoa, Chordata, Actinopteri, Cypriniformes, Cyprinidae.
UAAAUAUUAAUUUUUAUUUAUUUAUUUAUUUUAUUUUUUUAAUUUUAAAUGCCAUUAUUUCUUAGGCUUAGAAAUGUUGCGUUAUUCAACAACCUGACGACCUCAAAUUCUUAUCAAUAUAAAAUGAAAUAAGUUUAUACUAUAAAACGGCAAGUAUGAGUAAUAAAUCAUUAAUAAGGGUGUAUCACAAGCAGCAUGAUCUUGUCUGAGGAAACCGGAAGCGCUGUUGUCUGCUGUGUGGCGUCACAGCAAUUUCCUCUUUAGCAAAAGGCAACAACGUCACAAUCUCAGCAACAGAGGGCGACAGAGAGCAACAAAUCAGUGCAGCAGUCCUACAGGUUUGAUUGCAGAUUAAUAAAUCGCAUAUUUUCAUGUAUCAACGCAGAACAAGGGCGAUAUAGAACUACAAACACUCUACAACUGCAUCACUAAUACAAUUUAGGUCUUCAGUUCAACUAACCUGACAUUCCAGUAACAAAAAAAAUUUAAAUAAAUAAAAAAAACCUAAAUGGAUGGAUGCUAUGACGAAAAGGCUAUUUUCUCGGCCAUAACGACUCGAGGGUUUCUAAGAAUAACCCUUCCUAGUUUCUAUAUUUGGAAAUGACUUCUAGGAAAAUAGAAACUGCCAGCUUCAUAUUCAGUUCCACGUGUUUAACUUCGCUCCCUUUUAAAGCAUAAGAAAAGCAUCGAGCAGCACGUGAGCGAUUUUUCAUACUGCCACCCAUUGAUGAUCAUUAAUAGACCGGAGAAUGUCCGCGAGGAAUUGGCGUGUGUUGCUGGAAAUGGCAUCUCCCCCUGCACGGCCCCUGCUUUACCUAGUAGCGUGACCAUGAAGCAAUGCACGAGCAGAGAGAUCUCAACAUGCACAGAGUCAGUCUGCUGCUCAUCUCACCAGCGGGAGCGCGUACAGCGUGCACUUAAAGAAAAAAUAUCUGAUUCCCAUCAGCCACAUGCUUCUUUCAACCCCACAGCGCGUCUUUAUUCAUUCGGGCUUCCAGCAACCAGCUGCACUUCAUGGCGAUAGAUAAAGAAAACCCCAUGCGCAAGGAGUUAAUAAGUCAAACAAAGGCAUAUGACUUCCAUAACUUCAUCGCUCAUUAACCGCUGAUGGUAGGACACAAUUGAGCGAGUGUUUGUGGAACUUGCCCUAGAUAUUCAGAUCUCAGUCCUUGGCUCUGGCUGUUGGGCAGAUCUUCUCCUGUUUCAGAUAUCUUCACCCUGCCUGACAACAGACCGUCAGGAGCUUCACAUGAGAGUCCCGUGUAAGGAGUGAACUAUGGGAGAGAAAGGCCAGUUAUGUCCAUUUAAAUCCCUUAACAAGCACCACAGCAAACAAAAGACAGAUUAGCAUGAUUUACCAUGACCGUAUUAUUAAAUUACCUCAUCUACACAUGAGCCAACAAUUGAGUUACUUUUAUAGAUGUGUGCAGACGGUAUUAUGCAGGCACUGUGUAGGCUAUUCUUUGUUCAUUAAUGGUUUGGUAAACCACAUUUUGUAAGGUCUUGAAUAGAGCUAGCACUGGUUAGACCCAAAAAUUGCACAUUCAGAGGUAUCUUUCAAAACCAAUAUUCCCUAUUAGCAUUAAAGCUAUGCAUGCUAGACAUUGUCUGGGUUUGACUGGGAUGGGAUCUCGUUUAAAAAGCAAUGCAUUUAUAAAAUAUAUUGAUUAUAUUAUGUUGUAUAUUUUAAAAUAACGCUGAUAACUCUCAAACAAUAAAGUGAAAACGAUCAAAAUCCUAUUGUUGUCUGUGGUUCGUGUGUAAAUAUGAACUGAUGGUAUAAUGCCACCUAGUGGUAUAUUUCAUGCAACCAGCAGCCCGAUGUCUAGUUUCAUUCAGCCCAUACAUUCAUAGAAAAGACAACAAGCUCUAUUAAUGAACCUGAUGUCAUUUCUGUGUAAUGCUGGGAAUGAGAGCGAGGACAAGCAUUAGACCUAGAGAAAGGACGAACACCAUUUAUGAGGAGACUUUUAAGGACACAAGGUGGGUGUGAGCUAGAUUUCCUCUUUGGCCUAGAAAAGACAACACAAUCUUUGCCAGCUUCAGAAUUCCCAUCAUUCCCUGGAUAUUAACACAUUCAUUUUAGGUAAAGGAAAUUGCACACCAGACCAGCUAUGGUCACAUUCAAAGCACCAGAAUCAGUGUAAUACCUCUUUAAUGUUACACAGAAAUUCUUCUAGGCAUAAACUGUGUAUUAAAACUUACUAUCUUUCCUUUGGGACUUAAAAAGUAAUAAGAGUUGAAAGGUAUUCAGAUUAAGUGUAUGACGGGGUAUUUAAAAGUUAAUUCAGCAGUUCUAAACCAUUGUCCACACCAAUGUUCAAAAGACAACCAACUUUUUUGUUGUUUGUGAUUUACUGGAUAAGGAUUUCUAAAAAAUAUUAUUUCUUGUUUUAAGUCAUUUUAUGUCAUAAAGCAACUGUUUGUAGUUUUUGCGAUGUUGGAGCCCCCUACAGUUGAGUAAGAGGAAAUCCCUGUCGUAAAUACACCACUGUCGUAAUUAGAGUGGAUUGCUUUACGCUUCCGUGAAUCAUUUCACUCUUUUUGUGUCUCCAUUCUCCAAACUUAUACUUUGAAAGAUGUUUGGGGCAGAGCAGGGGAAGGAUCAGAAGCCAUUCGCCUUAUUAUAAGUAAAUCAUGAGAAUUAUUUUGAAACUGGUAGCCUGCUUCAAGGUUUUAAAAAAAAUUAAAAAAUUACAUACAAGUUGCUUUAAGCACACCAUGGAAGUGUGAGGCCCCCUACUGGGCCCUGGCCCCUGGUUAAGUGUGAAGUUAAAGUGCACAAUCAAUAUAAAAUCUGUGAUCUUUAUUCAUUCAUUCAAUCAUUCAUUGAUCCGUCCAUCUUAGGGCUAUAGUUUGAUGUUUGAUAAAAUUUAGAGAUUUUAAAAUAAACGUAUUAUAAUUUUUUUUUUAAAUAAACAAUCAUUUUUAUUUUUAUUUAUUUGCUGUUUACUGAGUGAAAUUCUGAAAAGCUAAAUUAAAGCCAUUUAAUGGUCUAUUGAAAGAUUAUGCAAUUUUUAGAUGGUGAGAAUUUAAGAUUCAAUUACAUUGAAUCUGCCUCAGAUGCAAUUAAGAGCUUCUCUGCCUGUAAAGGUGUGAACCAAAUGGUCCAUACAAUCCAAACAUCAAUGGUGUUCCUCAGUAAGUUCCAAUCCUUUACGUCUUGCAGCUAUUUUGUGUAUUUUAGCUCUCAGUGAUAUAGCAGCAACAUUCACAAAUGUUUACAGAAGCGGGAACCCAGUGUGCCUGUAGCUUUCUCUGUUUCUAUUUUAUCACGUGAUAGAAAGUCUACGGCCUUCUCAAGCAGUACGGCUGACCCAUCUAAUCUGCGGCCAUCAUACAAAGAUUACUGUAAAGACACAAAGUAGUGCCAUCAAGUUAGCAUUUUGAAACAUUCGCUUACUAAAAAAUAAAUAAUUUCUGAUCAAUGACUUAAUAACUGUGCACAAACAACCUGGAUUUUAUGUUUCUAAAUGAAACAUGGCUAGAAGACAGCUGCAGUGCAACAGUCCUCAAUGAAGCAGCCCCUCCUAACUGUAGAUAACUGAUGAUGUGUCAUCCAGUUAGUUAUAACAUACUUAAGUUAGGUUUAUGGAAGCUAUGUUCAUAUAUGGUAUUUCCCUGUGUUGAGGUGCCCCCUGGGAAAGAGGGCGGGGUGUUCUGGCAGGUGAUGUACUUGCUUCGUGGUGUUUGCGGGCUCUCCAUGUUGGCUAAUAAAAGAGUCAUUCUGAAAGAUAUAAACGUCUCCAUCUCUAUAACAAAGUACAUGGUGUCAGAAGUUAAAAUC